CGCGUAGGCGGCCGAUCAAGUCGGAGGUGAAAUCCCUCGGCUCAACUGAGGAAUUGCCUUCGAUACUGUUCGGCUUGAGUCCUGGAGAGGGUAGCGGAAUUCCCGGUGUAGCGGUGAAAUGCGUAGAGACCGGGAAGAACACCAGUGGCGAAGGCGGCUACCUGGACAGGUACUGACGCUGAAGCGCGAAAGUAGGAGGGCGAAC
Molecule: ribosomal RNA, 205 nt
Filed under: uncultured bacterium
Lineage: Bacteria
Description: partial 16S ribosomal RNA
Rfam family: Bacterial small subunit ribosomal RNA
Source: RNAcentral